GGAGAGCCUGCCAGACCAGAGGCAGGACCCUGGUGGGAUCUGAAGGGACAGAGCAGCCCCACCAGAGAGAGCAUCACCCAGAGAGACAGCCACUACCCUCAGCCUCCUUUGCCAACGGGGAUCACCCCCCCCCCACCCCCACUCCCCGGCGAGCCUGGCUCCUGGUCCCUCCCUGGCCCCUUCCCUGCAGCACCGUCCCUGGUCCCUGUCCCCAAGGUGGUGUCCAGCGGGCCAGGAGGCAAGAGCAGAGGCACAGCCGCCCUACCCACCAGCCAGCGCCCUGGGCACCACUGGGGCCUCCGGCCUGAAUCCUGGGGCGCUGCAGCCGGCGGCCAGAGCUGGGCCCUCCGUGUGCCAGCACCACACAUGUACAGAUGGGGCGGCGGAACAGGUCAGGAAAUGAAGAGUAAGGGAGCAUCGCGAUCCCACAAACACAAACCCAGCCCCCUGCCUGCCUCUCCCUGGGGAAACGGAUCCUGGUUCAUCUCACUCAGGGGCUUGGCAUCUGGCCCGGGGUCAGAAUUCCUCGCAGAAAAUCUAACGAAAGGAGAAAAGCACAUUUUCAAGCCCGAACAAGAAAGAUGCUUCCCGGAAGUUAUGAUGUCAUUGCAUCUGGGGGCACUGCGCUUUUGUGGUGAAGAAAAAGGAUGGAAAAGAACGUACCCUAUUAUUUUAUGAGAAGGGGAAACACAGGCCACAAAUCCCUGGUCGUCUUGGCCCUCGUCUACCACACCCUUCCCUAUCCCUGGCCACGUGGCUGCCCGGGAGGAACCCGCUGAUCCCCAGGACGCCAUGAAACACUUCCCUGACUCCCAGCUCGCUUACGGGUCCCUGGUGAUGCGAGGCCGCCGGCCUGUUCCACGGAGGGAAGGCGGUGUCUCCCCAUGUGUGGUCCUCAGGCCGUCUGCAUCAGAGUCCCUGGAAGCAGCUGGGCUCCCCUACAGCCAGAAUCUAGGGGAGGAACCCCCGGCACCCACAGUUCAGUAAAGGCCCCAGACGACUCCGGUGCAGACGGAUGCCGGAAUCUAUCUUAAGGGAAUAAUGAACGAGGCUGCAGGGAUGGAUGGACAAGGACACCGUAGUGCUAUUUAUGAUAAGCCUAAAUUGGAAGAGUUUUCUACAACGAAUGUUUUCCUAAUUAUGUUUGAAAACUUAGUCCACGAAGCCUCCUCGCCCCAUCGAGUGACACGGUCCUCCAUGCCGCAGCAGGUUGAUGCUGGCCUCAAGCUGUGGUUUGGGGCAGGUGGGGUGGCAGGUGGCCCUUUGUGGGCCAGGUUCGCAGAGGGUCACCGCAUCAUCGGUCCCCGCGGAGGGUCUGUGACCACAGAAAGGAAUUCCACCCAACCCAAACUCACGUCUCCCUAUCUCAGCAUCCUACCUGCCAGGUCCCCAAAUUACCCGCAGCCAGCCCCAUUCCGUAUGAAGGAAGUGCACCGGAAGGAAGGUUGCAGUUAAAUUACUUACUCUUGUAAAUUUUGCUCAAACCAAGGACUUUCCAAAAACAUUGCUAGAGGGGCUCCUGGGUGGCUCAGUCGGUUGAGCGUCUGACUUCAGCUCAGGUCAUGGUCUCAUGGUUCAU
This is a long non-coding RNA of Leopardus geoffroyi (Geoffroy's cat), 1579 nucleotides long. RefSeq lists it as uncharacterized. The transcript has 6 exons. Lineage: Eukaryota; Metazoa; Chordata; Mammalia; Carnivora; Felidae. The record is from RefSeq and is a predicted model, not a curated record.